RNAcentral lists this long non-coding RNA (1088 nucleotides) under Ananas comosus (pineapple). Its description in RNAcentral is "long non-coding RNA (ACOM_LNC001288)". The record is from RNAcentral. Lineage: Eukaryota; Viridiplantae; Streptophyta; Magnoliopsida; Poales; Bromeliaceae.
UUUGUCCCAAAAUAAGACCUUGAAAAACUUCAUACCGAAUAAAUUAUUAUUAAAUACUUUANAUAUAUAUUUGUUUUAUUUAUUAAAAAUGACUUGCCUGGUAAAAUAUUUGUCCCAAAAUAAGACCUUGAAAAACUUCAUACCGAAUAAAUUAUUAUUAAAUACUUUAUUCCAACAUCUAAACAGAUAGAACUUAUUCCGACAUCCAGAUACGACUUUUAAAUAAAUAAAACAAAUAUAUAUAUAUACUAAAUAGGAUAUUCAUUAUCAUCAUAAUAAAUUAUUAUUGAAUAACUUAUUCUGACAUCCAAACAGAAUUUUUUACUCUAAAAUAAGAGAUAUAUGUCUAACUACUGUAAAAUAAUGCAUUUGUCGAUACCUUAUUCCAGUCAUAUAUGAGUUCAGCUACUAUACUAUCGAUAGUACCAAACUCGAUACUAUCGAGUUUUCUGCCGUUAAAUCUACUCUUUGAUCAUUUCCACCCGUUAGAUUAUACUAUUCAACCAACCACCCACUCAAUCCUAAAAGACCACCAUCAUUCUAACUGAAAACCACUAUCAUCUUAACCGCACAUUCUUAUUGGCUUAAAUAGGCCAGCAUCCUGCCAUGUGGCGAGAGGCCAUGUUGGGGCAAAUCAUAUUCGAAAUGGCGUGAGGCUGGAUAGGCCGAGUCAUGUUCGAAAUGGCGUGAGGCUGAUUGGGACAAGUCACAAUCGAGACCCACGGGCGCUGUAUCUAUACGCUUUAAGUGAAUUAGUUGUGUAUUUCUAAUAGCUCGAGCUUUUGGGAUUAAUGGUUAGAGCCAAUGAUCCGACAAUUCGUUCAUCCAACGGUCGAAAGCUCAAUAGCACCAAGCGCUUGGCACUAUCAAUAGUAUGGUAGUCUAAUUCUAUAGAUACAUAUUGAGUUCAAAGUAUUAGUUAGAUGAAGAACCAGCAAAAUUUUUAGCCCACAAAUAUACAGAUGAACAAGGCGCAAGGUAAAGUACUACAGUAAAAUAUUUCCCAAGUUAGAAACCAAAAUGAAAAUAUUGCUAAAAGUUGGAGGGCCAAAAUGUAACCUGAGUAAAAGCUCAGGGACUGGUGGUGC